AACGAACGCUGGCGGCAGGCCUAACACAUGCAAGUCGAACGCCCCGCAAGGGGAGUGGCAGACGGGUGAGUAACACGUGGGAACCUUCCCUAUAGUACGGAAUAGCCCAGGGAAACUUGGAGUAAUACCGUAUACGCCCGAAAGGGGAAAGAAUUUCGCUAUAGGAUGGGCCCGCGUAGGAUUAGCUAGUUGGUGAGGUAACGGCUCACCAAGGCGACGAUCCUUAGCUGGUUUGAGAGAACGACCAGCCACACUGGGACUGAGACACGGCCCAGACUCCUACGGGAGGCAGCAGUGGGGAAUAUUGGACAAUGGGCGCAAGCCUGAUCCAGCCAUGCCGCGUGAGUGAUGAAGGCCUUAGGGGUUGUAAAGGCUCUUUUGCCGGGGACGAUAAUGACGGUACCCGGAGAAUAAGUCCCGGCUAACUUCGUG
This 432-nucleotide ribosomal RNA is filed under the name uncultured bacterium. Its description in RNAcentral is "bacterial SSU rRNA". It matches the Rfam family "Bacterial small subunit ribosomal RNA", at positions 29 to 507 of the family's 1533-position model. The record is from RNAcentral.